Molecule: ribosomal RNA, 440 nt
Filed under: uncultured bacterium
Lineage: Bacteria
Description: partial 16S ribosomal RNA
Rfam family: Bacterial small subunit ribosomal RNA
Source: RNAcentral
CCUACGGGGUGCAGCAGUGGGGAAUAUUGCACAAUGGGGGGAACCCUGAUGCAGCGACGCCGCGUGGGUGAGGAAGUACUUCGGUAUGUAAAGCCCUAUCAGCAGGGAAGAAAAUGACGGUACCUGAGUAAGAAGCCCCGGCUAACUACGUGCCAGCAGCCGCGGUAAUACGUAGGGGGCAAGCUUUAUCCGGAUUUACUGGGUGUAAAGGGAGCGUAGAGGGCAGGGCAAGUCUGGAGUGAAAGGCGGGGGCUCAACCCCCGGACUGCUCUGGAAACUGUACGGCUGGAGUGCAGGAGAGGUAAGUGGAAUUCCUAGUGUAGCGGUGAAAUGCGUAGAUAUUAGGAGGAACACCAGUGGCGAAGGCGGCUUACUGGACUGUAACUGACGUUGAGGCUCGAAAGCGUGGGGAGCAAACAGGAUUAGAUACCCCUGUAGUC